UAAACUCAAAUAGAAAUGAGGGCCGCUAAAUCAUACAUGAGGAUUCCUGGAAGUAGCUAUUGUUUUGAAAACCACAUAUUGACAUUUUCUACAUAAUAUGGUAUUUUUCUUUAUAUUUGUUAAACAUUUCCCAAUUAUAUUGCUAAUCUGGUGCUUGCAGCAAUCAGAAGUAUUGUAGACAGCAUGUGCCCUUGGCCACAGGUUUGACAUCUCUGAUCUAUUCUACUUCCCUCCAUCUCCAGGUGAGGAAACCAAGGCCGAGAGGGAAGCAGUAUCCAUUGUAACAUCAAACAACUUUCUAAAAAGGAUUCUUCCAGAAAUGGCUUCCUAGCAUCCUUCACAAGGAGAGAGACACCAUCUGCCCUGUAGCAUCCUCCACAUGGAGGUGCUUUGUGAGUCAUUUGAAACAACAAAAAGCCCAUAAUUGUCUGUAUCCAGUGCCAGAGGUCAAGCCAAUUCAACUAGCAUUUAUUAAGCACCUACUAUGUGCCAGCCACUGUGCUAAGUGCCUGGGAUGCAAGAAAGACAAAAACAAUCCCUGCUCUCAAGGAACUGAAAAUCUCAUGGGGAAGACGGCUUGCCAGACCAUGUUUCUGAACUUUAAAGAAUAAAUUAAAAGUAGAUGCCAAAUGGGGUAGUGUCACCAGGACUCCAAGAAGGCCUGCCUUGGCUAGCAGCCAGGAAGAAACAGAGACUCAUCAUCUACUCUGCUACUUCAAGUACUUGCUGCCUACCCCUCUUACUCAAGGAAUGAUGUUUGAGUAAUAUUAUCAUUGCGAUUGUGAAGGGCAUGACCAUACCCAUGAUUCUGAGAUGAGGAACUGAGGCAUACAAGGUAAAGUAACUUGCCCACGGUCACUCAGCUAGUAAAUGUCUGAGGCCAGAUUUGAACUCAC
This 896-nucleotide long non-coding RNA is filed under the name Vombatus ursinus (common wombat). Its description in RNAcentral is "lncRNA (ENSVURG00010015804.1)". Lineage: Eukaryota; Metazoa; Chordata; Mammalia; Diprotodontia; Vombatidae. The record is from RNAcentral.